Molecule: ribosomal RNA, 251 nt
Filed under: uncultured prokaryote
Description: partial 16S ribosomal RNA
Rfam family: Bacterial small subunit ribosomal RNA
Source: RNAcentral
UACGGAGGAUGCAAGCGUUAUCCGGAUUUAUUGGGUUUAAAGGGUGCGCAGGUUGUUUGAUAAGUCAGUGGUGAAAGUCUGUCGCUUAACGGUAGGAUUGCCAUUGAUACUGUUAGACUUGAAUAUGGAUGAGGUAGGCGGUAUGUGUAGUGUAGCGGUGAAAUGCAUAGAUAUUACACAGAACACCGAUUGCGAAGGCAGCUUACUAAUCCAUCAUUGACGCUGAGGCACGAAAGCGUGGGGAUCAAACA